This is a non-coding RNA of Salmo salar (Atlantic salmon), 54 nucleotides long. Lineage: Eukaryota; Metazoa; Chordata; Actinopteri; Salmoniformes; Salmonidae. The record is from Rfam.
AAUGCACCAAUUUGUAAGUCGCUCUGGAUAAGAGCGUCUGCUAAAUGUAAAUAA